This is an unclassified non-coding RNA of Fukomys damarensis (Damara mole-rat), 266 nucleotides long. Its record names the gene 7SK. It matches the Rfam family "7SK RNA". From Rfam's summary of the family: 7SK was discovered as an abundant small nuclear RNA in the mid-70s but a possible function has only recently been suggested. Two independent studies have found that 7SK RNA binds the CDK9/cyclin T complex (known as elongation factor P-TEFb). The record is from Ensembl. Lineage: Eukaryota; Metazoa; Chordata; Mammalia; Rodentia; Bathyergidae.
GGCUGUGAGGGCCAUCUGGCUGCACCAGGGUGGAUUUGGCCGAUGUGGCUAGAUGGGCAGGUGUCCCCUUCCUCCCUCACUGCUGCAGGUGCGCCCCUCCUGCAGGUGUGCACUGGGUCAGAGAGGAGGACCACCCCCCGAUAGAGGAGGACAUUUCCUUGGUCACGCCUACAGGAGUAGCUGCACUCCCUGGUAGAACCGCCAAACAAGGUCCUGUUUUAGAUUUGUUCUAGCGGCCAGAAUUUUCUUAACUAGCCAAGAAAUUG